CAGUCGCCGCGGUAAUACGGAGGGGGCUAGCGUUGUUCGGAAUUACUGGGCGUAAAGCGCACGUAGGCGGCGAUCUAAGUCAGGGGUGAAAGCCCGGGGCUCAACCCCGGAAUAGCCUUUGAGUCUGGAUUGCUAGAAUCUGGGAGAGGUGAGUGGAAUUCCGAGUGUAGAGGUGAAAUUCGUAGAUAUUCGGAAGAACACCAGUGGCGAAGGUGGCUCACUAGACCAGUAUUGACGCUGAGGUGCGAAAGCGUGGGGAGCAAACAGGAUUAGAGACCCCAGUAGUCCCUGUCUCUUAUAC
This 301-nucleotide ribosomal RNA is filed under the name uncultured bacterium. Its description in RNAcentral is "partial 16S ribosomal RNA". It matches the Rfam family "Bacterial small subunit ribosomal RNA", at positions 509 to 807 of the family's 1533-position model. The record is from RNAcentral.